GGAUUAGAUACCCUGGUAGUCCACGCCGUAAACGAUGGGUACUAGGUGUUGUGAGCUUAACACUCGCAGUGCCGACGCUAACGCAUUAAGUACCCCGCCUGGGGAGUACGGUCGCAAGAUUAAAACUCAAAGGAAUUGACGGGGGCCCGCACAAGCGGUGGAGCAUGUGGUUCAAUUCGACGCAACGCGAAAAACCUUACCUGGUCUUGACAUCCGGAGAAUUCCUCAGAAAUGAGGAAGUGCUCGCAAGAGAGCUCCGAGACAGGUGCUGCAUGGCUGUCGUCAGCUCGUGCCG
Molecule: ribosomal RNA, 295 nt
Filed under: uncultured bacterium
Lineage: Bacteria
Description: partial 16S ribosomal RNA
Rfam family: Bacterial small subunit ribosomal RNA
Source: RNAcentral